RNAcentral lists this long non-coding RNA (314 nucleotides) under Mustela putorius furo (domestic ferret). RNAcentral describes it as "lncRNA (ENSMPUG00000027898.1)". The record is from RNAcentral. Lineage: Eukaryota; Metazoa; Chordata; Mammalia; Carnivora; Mustelidae.
GGGGGAGUGAGUGGGAAUAAGAGAUCAUACGAGCACACUGGGAACCCACAAGCUGGAACAUACAGGUUAGCACUGCCAGGCUGACCUAACUCGCAGGUGCGCGGUUGCCAGAGAGGACUCAGACCCACGUAAAAGAUCAGAGGGAUGUUUAUAAUCACCAAAACUCAAGACAAGGUCUCUGACUUACUGCUAUACCUCGAAGAACCACUUUGGGAGAUGGCCACCAAGAGCCUUCUGAAGCAGAGCGCCGGAAAGCUGCUUAAACCGUAACAGGAGGGAGACGGAAGGUCCGUGGGGACAGUGAGAGCCGGCUG